Molecule: ribosomal RNA, 447 nt
Filed under: Triticum aestivum (bread wheat)
Lineage: Eukaryota; Viridiplantae; Streptophyta; Magnoliopsida; Poales; Poaceae
Description: partial small subunit ribosomal RNA
Source: RNAcentral
AUGUGGAAGUCGCGGGCUCCGAACACAUGCAAGAUCUUCUUGUGGCUCGCUGGUAGGAGGAGAUGCUGGACGGCUGACAGGCUGCAGAGGCAUUUGAUGCCGCACCCGCCGGCCUGUCCACUAUGCGACCAGGAACUAGAGACGAUUGACCACUUACUACUUGGAUGCGUGUUUGCGAGACAGGUCUGGUCGGACAUCACAGGCAAUUGGGGAAAACCCCAAUGGACCCCUGCCCACGGAGCGAAGCUUGUUCAAUGGUGGUCUUCUUUAAACGCCGAGACGAGGAUGAGGAAGGAAGCUUGGACGGUGAUCACGUUGGUGGCAUGGACAAUUUGGAAACACAAAAACGACGUCGUGUUCAACGGCGCUCUACCUUCCGUCAACAAGGUGCUCGAGACGAUCGACGCGGAAGGGGAGAGCUGGAGGGCUGCAUCUCUGCUACGGUAG